Sesamum indicum (sesame) is the source of this 1108-nucleotide long non-coding RNA. RefSeq lists it as uncharacterized. The record is from RefSeq and is a predicted model, not a curated record. Lineage: Eukaryota; Viridiplantae; Streptophyta; Magnoliopsida; Lamiales; Pedaliaceae.
AGCAGUCCCUCGUGAAUCGAAGUAUUUUGGGAUUUACGAUCAUGUCUAGUGGUACGCCUGCUUUACUACGUGGUUGAAGACGUGGCCAUGAUCGUGGCCGCGGUCGUGGCCUGCCACUUCCAUCAGCGCCUUCGGAUGCUUCCCAGGUUAGGGAAGCAGCCCUUCGACCACCCUCACCACUUGACAAGAUCGCACCGUCCUCCAACCCGUAGACUCCAGAUGAUGCUAGACCAUCUGGAGCUGCACUAGCAGCUGAUGAGAUGAUGCAGCACUCUGCCACACCAGUUGUUGCUCCACCACCACCAAUAGUCCCCCCCACCACUAAUGCACCAGUACAUCAGCCUAAAAAAUAUAUGUUUAUAGAAAAAAUUUUAGUAUUAUCAAAAUUUUGUUUAUCACAAUUUUUUUAGUAUUAUUUUAUCUUGAAAAUAUCUAAUUAACAUGUCAUUUUAAAUCUGAUCGUCGCUUCCACGAACGCAUCAAUGUGGUCGUGCGGGGACACUUUCCCCACCCGUGGCCGUGUUUGAGGCAGGUGCAACCAGAGCACCAGCAUUUCUAGUUCGAGAGCAUGAAGAUAAGCAAAUGGUGGGACUGUAACGAUAAAUCCAUAUUUCGAAUCUUCCACAUGUGGGUCAAAAAGUACAUCUUGAAGAUAUUUUCCAUCCCCAGCCUGGUCAAGCCACUCUAGCUGGUCAACGAGGUCUGGCUCCAACUGCGGCGCACUAGGCCAAUAAAGACUACCAGCAAGAGUCCGAGCGAACUGGGCGGCGAACCCACGGCGUCCUCGACUGUGUGCCGGAGGGUCUUCCUCUAUCGGCAUGCAUCGAAAGAGGAAGUUCAAAAGGGCAGAGUUCGGUCGGCCGAUCAAGCGAUUGAGUUGUUUGAAAGGAGCUACAAGAAAAAGAAGGACGGCGGCUGAAGUGGGCCAAGGGCGAGGGAGAUGUUCUAGAAGCUCAUGGAAGAUCGUCAGCCUCAGGCCACAUCGAGGACUAUGAUGCCCCGGCUGAAUCGGAGGCUUUGGUGGCAAUGUGGAGUAGCAGAUGUGGCUGGCUACAGUCGGGGGCAAGAACAAGAGCCGAGUAUUCGGGCCUUGGUUCUGAGGUCCACG